AUACGAAAGGGGCAAGCGUUGUUCGGAUUUACUGGGCGUAAAGAGAAUGUAGGUGGUUUGUUAAGUCGGAUGUGAAAUCCCGGGGCUCAACCUCGGAACUGCAUUCGAUACUGGCAGACUUGAGUUCGGGAGGGGAAAGCGGAAUUCCGUGUGUAGCAGUGAAAUGCGUAGAUAUACGGAGGAACACCUGAGGCGAAGGCGGCUUUCUGGACCGAUACUGACACUGAGAUUCGAAAGCGUGGGUAGCAAACAGGAUUAGAUACCCUGGUAGUCCACGCCCUAAACGAUGUCAACUAGCCGUUGCGGGUAUCGACCCCUGCAGUGGCGAAGCUAACGCGAUAAGUUGACCGCCUGGGGAGUACGGUCGCAAGAUUAAA
Molecule: ribosomal RNA, 377 nt
Filed under: uncultured bacterium
Lineage: Bacteria
Description: bacterial SSU rRNA
Rfam family: Bacterial small subunit ribosomal RNA
Source: RNAcentral